CUGGGAGGAGUGUGGUUGGUGAUUGCGGGAGUGAUAGCUAAUGGGCAGGAGGCUUCUUUUGGAGGUGAUGAAAAUGUUCUAAAAAUGAUUAUGGUGAUUGUUGUGCAACUUUGUAAAUACACCAACAACCAUUGAAUGGUACACCAAAAGGGGUGAACUGUGUAGUAUGUGAACUAAAUCUCAGUAAACUUGUUACAAAGAAAAAAAGAAAAACUUUGCACCAGAUAAUCUAGGUUUAACUCUCAUCUUUGCUCCCGACUGGCUGUGUAACUUCAGAAAUGUUACUUAACUUCCAUAUGUCCUAAUCUCCCCAUAAAUAAAUGGAGAUAAUAAUGGUUCCUAUCUCACAGGGUUGUUGUAAGGAUUAAGUCAAAAUAUGUAGAGCACAACAGCGUCUGUUAAAGAAAAAGUGUUAUUUAUUAUACUCUAAGUAUGGAUUCCCAAGUCAGUGCUCCUUCCUCAUGACCUUACGCUCUGGUUCUAUUUUCAUGACUAUUUUAAAGAGCAGGUGGUGGGCUUGUUCUACUGCGGGGUCUUUUUUUUUUUUUCUUAUAAUAUUUUUUUUUAUUAUAUUAUGUUAGUCACAAUACAGUACACCCCUGGUUUUUGAUGUAAAGUGCGGGGUCUUUUAGAGAACUGUGGGAGAGAGGAAAGGAAACAGUUCAGAAAGCAAAGGCAUCUUUAGUCGGGCAGCUUUAGCCUAGUUUGACCCUCUAGGCUUCCCAUUCCUUUCGCUUCAGCGCGCACGCGCGGGAGUCCGUGCCCUUUCAUCUUCCUGCUUCUGUUACUUUGACAAUGGCGGCUCGCGGCGUGGGGAUGUUGGCCCGUUUAGCCCUAUGUGCUCAGAGAAGUCAAGUCCUCCGUCCUACCCACAGGCUUCUCAGUUGCCCAGGAACUGUGGCCGCAGACGCUAAGAGAGAAGAGCAGUCCUCCAGGAGCGUAGAGACAGGCUCUGAAGACAGGACUCCCAAAAAGAAAUUCUCUGAAGUGCAGAAAGAAAGACGAGAACAGGCACAGCGAACUGUUUUAAUACAUUGCCCAAAUAAAAUCAGUGAAAAAAAGUUUCUGAAAUACUUAUCCCAACAUGGACCUAUUAGUCAUCAUUUCUUCUAUGAGAGCUUUGGUCUUUAUGCUGUUGUAGAGUUUUGUCAGAAGGAAAGUGUCACUUCACUACAGAAUAUAACUCGAACUCCAAGUAUGGAGACAGAGGCUGCAAUUCCAUUCAAGUCACGUUUCUUCAAUUUAAAGAUGAAGAAUCCAUCAAGCCAGACUUCAGAAAAGUCCAGUAUGCCAUGCAGUAAUCAUUCCCCUCCUUCAAGCAAGAAGCUUUUUGAAUUACUUUGUUAUGCAGAAAGUAUCGAUGAUCAGCUGAACACUCUCCUGAAGGAGUUCCAGUUAACGGAGGAGGACAUUAAGCUCCGAUAUCUCACCUGUUCUCUUAUUGAAGACCUAGCAGCUGCGUAUUUUCAGGACUGUACAGUGAGACCCUUUGGCUCCUCAGUGAACAGUUUUGGGAAAUUAGGAUGUGAUUUGGAUAUGUUUUUGGAUCUAGAUGAAAUUGGAAAAUUCAACACCAGCAAGACCUCAGGAAAUUUUCUGAUGGAAUUUCAAGUGAAAAAUGUUCCUUCAGAAAGAAUUGCAACGCAGAAGAUCCUGUCUGUGAUAGGAGAAUGCCUUGACCACUUUGGCCCCAGUUGUGUGGGUGUACAAAAAAUCUUAAAUGCUCGGUGUCCUCUUGUGAGGUUCUCGCACCAGGCCUCUGGAUUUCAGUGUGAUUUGACUACUAAUAAUAGGAUUGCCUUGAAAAGUUCUGAACUCCUUUAUAUAUAUGGUGCUCUUGACUCAAGAGUGAGAGCCUUGGUGUUCAGUAUUCGAUGUUGGGCUCGAGCACAUUCGUUAACGAGUAGUAUUCCUGGUUCUUGGAUUACAAAUUUCUCUCUUACAAUGAUGGUCAUCUUUUUUCUCCAGAGGCGAUCACCCCCUAUUCUUCCAACACUUGACUAUCUAAAAACCCUAGCAGAUGCAGAAGAUAAAUGUAUAAUAGAAGGCCACAACUGUACAUUUAUUCGUGACUUGAAUAGAAUUAAACCUUCAGGAAACACAGAAACACUAGAAUCACUAUUGAAAGAAUUUUUUGAAUAUUUUGGCAAUUUCGCUUUCAAUAAAAAUUCCAUUAAUAUUCGACAGGGAAGGGAACAAAACAAACCUGAGUGUUCUCCACUGCACAUUCAGAAUCCUUUUGAAACUUCUCUGAACAUCAGCAAAAAUGUAAAUCAAAGCCAGCUACAAAAAUUUGUAGAUCUGGCCAGAGAAAGUGCCUGGAUUUUAAGUCAGGAAGAUAAAGAUCGCCCUUCCCCAUCAAGUAAUCAGCCAUGGGGGCUGGCAAUGCUGCUGCAGCCUUCUGUGGUAAGUAGUGUGUCUCUUGCCAAGAAGAAAAGGAAGAAGCCUGCAAGUGAAAGAAUUAAAAAUUUGCUGGAAUCCAUAAAAAGUCACAGUCCUGAAAAUGACACAAACACCAAUGGGAAGAGAACGGUCAGUACUCAGGGAUAGCGGUGCCUCCUUUGCUUGAAGAACUGGUUUUCUCGGAGAAGGUGCUCUUGGAUUGCCUGGGAAACCUGGUGUGAAACUUUCAUAUAUACCCAUUUUCAUCUGAUGUCUCUUUUCUUGAUCUUCUCACUGGGCUUCUUUCUGGUCUGAAGUUCUGGGACAUUUUCAGUCUGAUAAGACUCAGAUCCAUCGGCACUUGAGAACGGCCGCCACAAGGAAUAGGUGACAGAGGAUUGGAAGGGACUUCAAAUCAACUAUACAAAGCAAGUGGUAAAAAUCCGUUUUAGAAUCAAACCAUCAUUGAUUUCUACAUUAGGCCCUGGAUGGAAAUCGUUUAAAAGGACUUCUGGGGAUCCCAGAGGAGAAGAGAGAAUCAGUCGAAGUAGGCUGCCGUCAUUUACUACGUACCUCUUCUUCCUUUUGCUCAGGGGCUGUAGUCAGCCUGCUGGUACCACAGUAGGGAAAAGCUACAUUUGCAUGUGUCGUUUAAGCCAACACAGGGAACAUCCGCAGCAAAGCCAGCAGGAAGAGCCACCAGGCAGUCACAGCUUGGCCGUGUAGCAGCUCUGCGCUUGCCAGAGUUUGGCAAUCAGUUGGACAUUUGUUUGAGUCGGGAUCCGGUUACUGUCCACAUACUGUGAUUGGUUGGUUUGGUUCUGAAGUCUCUUUAAUCUUUAGGUUUCUGUUUCAUCCCUCUAAUUCCUUACAAUUUAUUGAAGAUAAUGGGUUGUCUUAAGGAGUUUCCCACAUCAUGGCUUGUGUGGAUUAUGUCAGCACAUAUGAUGAUGUGCUGUGGAGUUGUUCAGCAUUAGCUUAAUGACCUAAAAAUUAUUUUUAUCACUUUUAGAAAACUUUCAACCAUACUUUAUUGUGUAUUUUCUAGCCCUUUCCCCUCCAUCUUCAUUCUGGAUAUUUCUUUCUGAAACUGUGUUACAGUUUACUAUUUUUUUUUUCUUAAGCUGUGUUGAGUUUUUUAAACCCAUUCACUGAAUUAUCAUCUUUAGUAGUCCCCCCCCCCCGCAGUUCUAGAAUAUCCACUUGGUACUUUGAAAUUUUUUUUUCUAAUUUUCUGACUAAAUUUUCAGUCAUGUCUGAUUUUCUUGUAUUAAACAGUCACUUUAAAGCCUGUGUAUGAUAAUUGGAUAUCUGCUGCCCUGUGGUUCUCUGUUUUUCAUGAUGUUGGAUUUCUCUCCUAGUACACCUAUUUUUUGUGUUGACAUUGUAUGUGAAAGAGCAGGGAUUAUUUCCGGGAGGUGGUGUCUUCCUUCAGAACUGAUUUGGUUUUGCUUUCAGAAGGCAGGUAAGGGUACUUAGGAUCUUGAAUCACCUUAAUCAAGAAAGGGCUUGAGAUUUUGAAGUUGGAUUCAGUUCCUGAUUCUGGGUACUCUUUACUCUCAGAGUGUGUCCCCAUCCAAAACCGGAAGCCUUUACCAGAGUCCUUUCUCCUUGAUAAGCCCUAAACUUUUUGUCCCCUUUCCUGUGAGUCUUUUGAAAGUUCUCCUCAGCCUGCCUCAUCCACAGAUGUCCCUAUGGGAGUAGUAGCCCUAGAUGUUGGGCUUACCUGUGUACGUUUACUUCUCCGCUGUCCUGUAAUUUUUCACUACCUUGUUGGCAUUUGGAUGCUUUCAAGUAACUGACCUCAGUUUUGCCCACCUUUACUAGUGUUCAGGGAGUUGGUGUUUAUUACCUAGAGUGCCAUUACAUUGAAUUCUUUGUGAUUCCUAUUUUUAUAUAUAUAUAUAUAUAAGAUAUAUAUAUAUAUAAAAAUAUAUAUAUAUAUUAACCUUAUAGAAAUGAUACAUACCAUUCAUUUCAUUUGCUUCCUUGUAAGGAGCUUCCACAUGCUGUCUCACUUACCAAUAUGUGUUGAGUUGGGCUUUGGGUAACAGUGUGAACACCUGUCUGCAGUGAAUGCCUAAUUCACCAGUAAGGAAAGAGGGCACUGCAAAUGUUUCAUGCUGUUUUUCAGAAAUUGCUUUUAUUUCUGGACUCUGAUUAUUUCUGGACUGUGAUUUCCUCAUGCAGGAUUUUGUACAUGCCAGUUCAAAGUUUAAAUUUAUGCCAUGUGUGAAUACGUGCAAAAUGCCCAAAUAAGAAUGGGGAAAAUAUCUUCUUUUUCCAGCUGUCUUGAGACACUUCAAAAACUAUGAAAUACAAUUUUUCUUCCAGUUUUCCAAAAUAUUUCUUUGGGUCGAUACCAAGAAUGAGGUAUUUUUGGCCAAAAUGCUUCUUAAAAUUUUUAUAAUUUUAUAAGAAGAAAUUUUCUUUUGAACUUCAAGCAUAUGUUAUUAUCAUGGUAUCUUAUUCAUGAACACAACCAUUUCAGUGCGUUUUUACACUAGUGGAAUAAUUUAGGUGUUCUGUAUUAUUAUGAGUCAGUUAUUUCUCUGAUGUUUGGCCAUUUCAUAUUUGUUGUUUUUCUGCUAUCUUAUCAGCCUAUGUUUGUGUAGGUAACAGAACUAACAAUUAAAAAUAGCCGUCAUUAUUUUGAGUAGGUUUUCAACUUGCGUUUAUGGUUUGCUGCAUAUAGUCUAACAUUACUAUAUUGCCAGAGACUUUCAUACAGGUCUUUAAAUAUUUAGUAAAACCAUUUUGAAAACUGAAAUUAUUUGAUGUUUUUAUCUUGAUUGCUCUGAACAAAGACUGUACUUCAAACUUCCCCUUGAUGCUUCAGGAUGAAAGUUGGGUUAAGCAAUAUUUGAAUUUAAAUGUGGUUUAAAACGUUUCUUAAUUCUGAAGUCCUUUGUAGUUUUUAUUUUCCAAGCAAUAUUAGCUGUAUUUGAUCUCUUAGAUGAAGAAAGAGUUGACUGUGAUUAAAUAUGUGCAGUGCCAUCCCGGAGUAAACUUUAUUCAUAGAUUAAUAAAAUCUGUCCGGCAUGAUUUAGAAAAAGAUAUUUUAGGCCAUUAAAUUUAGUUACAUAAGCUACAGUCUGUUUUAAAUUCUGUGCACUAAAAUCUGUUUUGCUUAAAAAAAAAAGGUCAUUACGCUGGGAAAUGUGGAGUAUUUGUUUUCCAAAACCAUCAAAAGCAUGCUUAGUCACUCAUUUAGGAAAAUUUGGAAGUACUAGUUUUAGCCUUUCAAUUUAAUGACAGUUACUAUCAUUGUCUAAUUUUCUUCUCUGUACUUAAAAGCCUUAAGAACAUGCUAAUAAUUGAUUUGACUACAUGGUUUUUUUGGUGCCUCUGUGGUUCAAAUGCUGUUCUUUUCUCAGACAGGAAGUAAACUAUAAAGUAAAGGAAUCUAGCACCCUACCCGGCGUAUAUUUGGUAAUCGGUAAAUUACUUUUUCCCCCCAACCCCCACCACACACAUAUUUUGUCCGUGGUUUUAAAUGUGUUAAGAUGUAAAAACAGUAUCAAGAAGAAUUUAAAAGCUCAGCUUCCAUUCAAAUCUUUAAACGUCUUCUAAAAGAAAAAUUCAAAAUUAAUACAUGAUGUUGUAGGCAGAAUUCUGUCGUGGCUCCCAGGAUUCUCACCCCCUGGAGUAUACACCCUGUAUAACCCUAUGUCCUUGAGUGUGAUCAGAGCUGUGAGUAGGAUGGAAUAGUCACUCUCUUGGUUGGGUUGCAUUAAAUGCCAAAGGUGAUGGUUGCAUCAUGCCUGUGAUUAUGUUAUAUGAUCUAAGAUCCUUUUGCCCACUAGAGAGGGAUUCCUGCUGGCUUUGAAGAAGUAAGCCGCUAUGUUGUGGAGGGCCACAUGGCUGGGGCCUAAGAAUGACUUUGGAGAGCAGAAAGCUAUCCCUACCAACAACCAGCAAGAAAUCGGGUACUUCAGUUCCAGACAGGAAGAGACUGAGAUAAUGAAUGAAUAAGCAUUUAUUCAUUUAUUCAUUAUUCAUUUAUUCAAGCCCCAGGUGAGACCACAUCCUGGCCAACACCUUGAUAUUAUUGAGUCUUCUGAGACCCUGAGCAGAAAACCAGUUAAAUCAGUCUCUGACCCCAGAGACUAUGAGCCACAGAAACAGAGAAAAUAAAUACAUUGUUACAUUGUUUUAAACUGCUAAAUUGGUGGUCAUUUGUUAAUACAGUAACAGAAAAUUAAUACAUUUGGGGAAAUCUCUCU
Ailuropoda melanoleuca (giant panda) is the source of this 6608-nucleotide RNA transcript. It is a transcript of the gene named mitochondrial poly(A) polymerase, with no coding region annotated. The transcript is spliced from 12 exons. The record is from RefSeq and is a predicted model, not a curated record. Lineage: Eukaryota; Metazoa; Chordata; Mammalia; Carnivora; Ursidae.